RNAcentral lists this ribosomal RNA (254 nucleotides) under uncultured bacterium. RNAcentral's name for it is "partial 16S ribosomal RNA". It matches the Rfam family "Bacterial small subunit ribosomal RNA", at positions 524 to 776 of the family's 1533-position model. The record is from RNAcentral.
UACGUAGGGCGCAAGCGUUGUCCGGAAUUAUUGGGCGUAAAGGGCUCGUAGGCGGAUCCGCCAGUCUGACGUGAAAUCUCCACCGCUCACCGGGGAGGGGCCGUUGGAUACUACGGAUCUGGAGUUCGGCAGAGGACCAUGGAAUUUCGGGUGUAGCGGUGGAAUGCGUAGAUAUCCGAAAGAACACCGGUGGCGAAGGCGGUGGUCUGGGCCUGAACUGACGCUGAGGAGCGAAAGCCAGGGGAGCAAACGGG